This 75-nucleotide antisense RNA is filed under the name Streptomyces bungoensis. RNAcentral describes it as "ASpks TB sRNA". It matches the Rfam family "ASpks TB sRNA". Lineage: Bacteria; Bacillati; Actinomycetota; Actinomycetes; Kitasatosporales; Streptomycetaceae. The record is from Rfam by way of RNAcentral.
CUUCACCGAGCCGAGCCACAGGGGCCGGUCCCCGGGACGCUGGGCGCCGUAGGUGGCGAGCAGGGCCUCCGCCUC